AGAUUGAACGCUGGCGGCAUGCUUUACACAUGCAAGUCGAACGGUAACAGGCCGCAAGGUGCUGACGAGUGGCGAACGGGUGAGUAAUGCAUCGGAACGUGCCCAGUCGUGGGGGAUAACGCAGCGAAAGCUGUGCUAAUACCGCAUACGAUCUAAUGGAUGAAAGCGGGGGACCGAAAGGCCUCGCGCGAUUGGAGCGGCCGAUGUCAGAUUAGCUAGUU
RNAcentral lists this ribosomal RNA (221 nucleotides) under uncultured soil bacterium. RNAcentral's name for it is "partial 16S ribosomal RNA". It matches the Rfam family "Bacterial small subunit ribosomal RNA", at positions 26 to 250 of the family's 1533-position model. The record is from RNAcentral.